RNAcentral lists this unclassified non-coding RNA (1465 nucleotides) under Hevea brasiliensis (rubber tree). The record is from RNAcentral. Lineage: Eukaryota; Viridiplantae; Streptophyta; Magnoliopsida; Malpighiales; Euphorbiaceae.
GUUUAUUAUUAUUAUUAUUAUGAGAUAAGCAAACAAUUAGCUGAAAAUGGUGAAUUUAGGAAUAAGAAACAGGAGAAGAUUAGCAUUUCAAUCUGCAAUCAUAUGACAAGGUUUCCCAUGACAUAAGAAUGAUAUUUAUGCAGCAAAAGCAGCGGAACGUGUCUCAAUCAUAGUUGUUAUUGCAUGGAGGUGGGGCUUCUAAUGCCCUGUCUUUUGGGAAGUAGUACAAAUUUCUGCCACAUGCAUUUUAAGCACAAGAAAAAAAAAAUCUUUAACAAUAUAUAUUCUUUCUACCUCUGACCUAUAAUUGUCCAAGUAAGUAAUCAUGCAGAGGGAAAAAAACUAACGAUUUACCCUUAGUUACAUAGAUAAUUUGCGAGAGUAAAAUGAAGUGGAUAAGGGGAAAAGACACUUUGUUUGAGCAUCCUAAGAGCAUCUGCAGUGAACUCUGGCACAAGUAUAUAUACAUAUGUGUGUUAAAUGGUUAAAACAAGAAAAAAAGAAAUAAAAACAAAAAGACAAGAAGAGAAACAACAACCCUUAUGUACUAGCUCGAGGCUGUCCCCGUUCAAAGGAACUGUGUCAGAGAACACCAAAAUACCAUAAUAAUAAUUAAUAAUUUCUUUUCUUUUUCUAUUAAUUGUCCCCAACUCCAAAUGAAAAGUAAAAGCAUUAAGAAGGCACAAUUACCAAUGAAAUCAAGAAUUUACUUUUAAUCAUUUAACACGUUAUUGCUGGGUGUGGAAUUCGUUUUUCACGUACCCGUACCUUCUCUUUUUCCUUCUAUCUCUCGGCUAUAUCCAUCUUUUUUUUUUUAUUUAUCUUCACUGAAAAUUGCCAUUUCCUCCAAAAGAUUGGCCUGUCUGCGCUGUAAUAUUUCUCUCUGAAUCCAAGGAGGAGCUCAUGUCUAUGCCUGGCUGUGGUGCCGCCUCCUGCUGCUGCUGCUGUUGUUGAUGAUUUUCUCUUCGGGAAAACCCUCCACUCAUGCUUCGAACUAUUUGUCCAACCCCAAGAAAAUCCCUGGUUAAUCUAUCAGACCCUCCAAUGCUCAUGUUCAGACCCUGGUGCAACUUUGCUUCGUCCAUGUUUCCACUAUGGGGGUUUUCUUGUCCAUGCCCAGAAGCGAAAAGGGAUGAAUUCCCAGUAGCAAAUGAGUUCAUUAAGUCAUGAAGGUUGUUGUCGUUUUCGUUGAAAAGGCCUCCGAAGUUGGCAGAUACAAGUGGCCUAUCUGAUUUUAUUCCGCUUGAGGAAGAGCUACCAAAGCUUCUUAGCAAUGAUGCACUAUUGGUGCUUGAAGUGGAACCCAUUUGAGCUGCCUUUUGAAGCAGUGCCGUUGCAGACAUGUGAGGGACCAUAUUAUCGUUUUGAACUGAGGAGCUGAAGAGAGAAGGAACACCAGACGUCAUUUGUUGAUGAUGAUGAUGAUGAUGCAUUAUUGUUACUAGUGCAGUUGUUGCAGUGGUCG